RNAcentral lists this ribosomal RNA (442 nucleotides) under uncultured bacterium. RNAcentral's name for it is "partial 16S ribosomal RNA". It matches the Rfam family "Bacterial small subunit ribosomal RNA", at positions 338 to 795 of the family's 1533-position model. The record is from RNAcentral.
CCUACGGGAGGCAGCAGUGGGGAAUAUUGGGCAAUGGGCGCAAGCCUGACCCAGCAACGCCGCGUGAAGGAAGAAGGCUUUCGGGUUGUAAACUUCUUUUAAGGGGGAAGAGCAGAAGACGGUACCCCUUGAAUAAGCCACGGCUAACUACGUGCCAGCAGCCGCGGUAAUACGUAGGUGGCAAGCGUUGUCCGGAUUUACUGGGUGUAAAGGGCGUGCAGCCGGAGAGACAAGUCAGAUGUGAAAUCCACGGGCUCAACCCGUGAACUGCAUUUGAAACUGUUUCCCUUGAGUGUCGGAGAGGUAAUCGGAAUUCCUUGUGUAGCAGUGAAAUGCGUAGAUAUAAGGAAGAACACCAGUGGCGAAGGCGGAUUACUGGACGAUAACUGACGGUGAGGCGCGAAAGCGUGGGGAGCAAACAGGAUUAGAUACCCCUGUAGUC